AGCGGUCGGCGAAGCUUUGCAUUCCGAUUGCAUCGACGGGAUUUGGGGCUGCUCCGGGGACGCCGUCUACGGCGGUGUGGAGAGAGGUGCUGGAAGAUUGAGAAGGUUACUUCUCCGUAUAUCGUAAGAAAGGGGGGAGAGAGGCUUUGGAGGAUCGGUAUUCAACCACUCUUAAUCUUCAUGGUGAUCCCAAACCAGGACAAGAAAGUGUUCCCACAAGAGAGGAAAGAUGAUCAGAAGAGUGUGGAUGCUUUGUUGAUAAUGUCCAUUGAGGCUGUCCCAGACUUGAAGACAUACUUAGCUGCAAGAUUCUCUCUUGGGUCUGGCAUGAAGCCUUAUGAGCUUGUCUUUUAGACAGUCAGCUCUUUUCUUACUUAGGAUAUUUGUUCCCGUUCUUGUUUGUUUCUUUACUAUGAUUGUAUGUUCUGUUCACAUUGAGAUCCGAGAUUUUGUAUUGAUCGGCAUUGCCUUGCAAGGGAUGUUAUGAUUUUCAUU
Long non-coding RNA from Rosa chinensis, 495 nucleotides. RefSeq lists it as uncharacterized. The transcript is spliced from 2 exons. The record is from RefSeq and is a predicted model, not a curated record. NCBI's taxonomy places the organism in Eukaryota, Viridiplantae, Streptophyta, Magnoliopsida, Rosales, Rosaceae.